RNAcentral lists this ribosomal RNA (200 nucleotides) under uncultured bacterium. RNAcentral's name for it is "partial 16S ribosomal RNA". It matches the Rfam family "Bacterial small subunit ribosomal RNA", at positions 28 to 228 of the family's 1533-position model. The record is from RNAcentral.
GAUGAACGCUAGCGGCAGGCUUAACACAUGCAAGUCGAGGGGUAUAAGGAGCUUGCUCCUUAGAGACCGGCGCACGGGUGCGUAACGCGUAUGCAAUCUGCCUUCCACAAAGGAAUAGCCCAGAGAAAUUUGGAUUAAUGCCUUAUAGCAUCACGAGAUGGCAUCAUCAUGUGAUUAAAAGAUUUAUCGGUGGAAGAUGA